This 340-nucleotide unclassified non-coding RNA is filed under the name soil metagenome. RNAcentral describes it as "partial contains 5.8S ribosomal RNA, internal transcribed spacer 2, and large subunit ribosomal RNA". The stretch from base 1 to 120 matches the Rfam family "5.8S ribosomal RNA", at positions 35 to 154 of the family's 154-position model. The record is from RNAcentral.
GAUGAAGAACGCAGCGAAAUGCGAUAAGUAGUGUGAAUUGCAGAAUUCAGUGAAUCAUCGAAUCUUUGAACGCACAUUGCGCCCCUUGGUAUUCCAUGGGGCAUGCCUGUUCGAGCGUCAUUUGUACCCUCAAGCUUUGCUUGGUGUUGGGCGUCUUGUCUCGCGUUGCGCGUAGACUCGCCUUAAAGCGAUUGGCAGCCGGCCUACUGGUUUCGGAGCGCAGCACAAGUCGCACUCUCUAUCAGCAAAGGUCUAGCAUCCAUUAAGCCUUUUUUUCAACUUUUGACCUCGGAUCAGGUAGGGAUAACCGCUGAACUUAAGCAUAUCAAUAAGCGGAGGA